GACGAACGCUGGCGGCGUGCUUAACACAUGCAAGUCGAACGGAAAGGCCCUGCUUUUGUGGUGUGCUCGGGUGGCGAACGGGUGAGUAACACGUGAGUAACCUGCCCUUGACUUUGGGAUAACUUCAGGAAACUGGGGCUAAUACCGGAUCGGAGCUCCUGCUGCAUGGUGGGGGUUGGAACGUUUCGGCGGUUGGGGAUGGACUCGCGGCUUAUCAGCUUGUUGGUGGGGUAGUGGCUUACCAAGGCUUUGACGGGUAGCCGGCCUGAGAGGGUGACCGGCCACAUUGGGACUGAGAUACGGACCAGACUCCUACGGGAGGCAGCAGUGGGGAAUAUUGCACAAUGGGCGGAAGCCUGAUGCAGCAACGCCGCGUGCGGGAUGACGGCCUUCGGGUUGUAAACCGCUUUCGCCUGUGACGAAGCGUGAGUGACGGUAAUGGGUAAAGAAGCACCGGCUAACUACGUG
RNAcentral lists this ribosomal RNA (468 nucleotides) under uncultured bacterium. RNAcentral describes it as "partial 16S ribosomal RNA". It matches the Rfam family "Bacterial small subunit ribosomal RNA", at positions 28 to 507 of the family's 1533-position model. The record is from RNAcentral.